This 307-nucleotide long non-coding RNA is filed under the name Salvia miltiorrhiza (redroot sage). Its description in RNAcentral is "long non-coding RNA (SMIL_LNC013208)". Lineage: Eukaryota; Viridiplantae; Streptophyta; Magnoliopsida; Lamiales; Lamiaceae. The record is from RNAcentral.
CGGUGGGAGGGGGAAGGGAGAUUAGGGUUUGGGGGUGGGGGAGAUUGGGGAAGAUGAUGAUGUGUGUGUUUUUUUUUGUUUUUUUUAUUAUUUUUUUUCCACAUGUCAAUAAUUAGCCUAGGUGUCAAUUUCCGGCUGCUACAGUGUUAAUUCCGGCUGCCACAUAAUCAAUUCCGGCGCCGGCGUGAAAAAAAACCGGUCAUCGGACAAAAACCAGACAAAAAGGAAAGGUUAGGUAUUUAAAAGAAGAAAAAUAAAAAAAGGUGCAAAAAUCAAUUCCGUGGAAACGUUAGGAAUUUACAGGCAA